GAAGGUCACGGCGAGACGAGCCGUUUAUCAUUACGAUAGGUGUCAAGUGGAAGUGCAGUGAUGUAUGCAGCUGAGGCAUCCUAACAGACCGGUAGACUUGAACCUUGUUCCUACAUGACCCGAUCAAUUCGAUCAGGCACUCGCCAUCUAUUUUCAUUGUUCAACUCUUUGACAACACGAAAAACCAUUGUUCAACUCUUUGACAACAUGAAAAAACCAAAGGCCUCUGCCCGGCCCUCCCUCUCUAUCUAUCCAAGGGAUGGAAGGGCAG
This 271-nucleotide ribosomal RNA is filed under the name Corylus yunnanensis. RNAcentral's name for it is "4.5S ribosomal RNA". The record is from RNAcentral. Lineage: Eukaryota; Viridiplantae; Streptophyta; Magnoliopsida; Fagales; Betulaceae.